CGCAACCACCUCUUCUCAUAUGCAGAACAUAUUAUGCCAGAGAAUUGGAUUUUUCAACAUGACAAUAACCCGAAGCUCACCUCAAACAUUGUCAAAGAGUAUCUUGCAUCAAAAGAGUGUUAAGAGGUUUUGAAGUUGCCCUCUGUUCCCAGAUCUAAACCCUAUUGAACACUUGUGGAAUGUACUUGGCUGACGAAUAAGGACAAGAACGUAUUCAAAUCAGAUGGAAUUAUUCAAGAAUUUAAAAGAAUGGAAAAGAAUUCUCCUGGACUGCAUUUGUAAAUUGACUCAAUCUGUAAAUGCUUAAUCAAUCUUUUUGUUGCUAUUACAGCUUGACACUCCAAGCUGUAAUAGCAGCAAAAAGGUAUGGCUCCAGAAUAUGUGUUUUGCGUAAAGUUUGCCUAAAAUACCUCAUUGCUUUGCUCUUUCUCUCUCUGGCCAGAAAUUUUUGCACGCCACUGUGUAUAUCAGCACCGGAUCUAGAUAUUUUGUCACUUGAGGCAGCAUUAGAAAAUGACGCCAUCUCUCCUCUUCACUCGCGCAUAAACAUACUUAAUACUUUAGAACCAGGAAUGUAAUGACACAUCACUGAGAAACGUGCAAAAAACUUUUUUCAAAGCAACAAAUAGUUAACAAAAUACCACCAAAAAUACAUUUAUAAUAAAUAUGAACUAUAGUUUAUUUUUUCUUGCCAAACUCAUUAAUAAUUAUUUAUCAAUUUAAUUGGCAUUGGUUUCUCUCUCUCUCCAU
This 750-nucleotide long non-coding RNA is filed under the name Androctonus crassicauda. The record is from RNAcentral. Lineage: Eukaryota; Metazoa; Arthropoda; Arachnida; Scorpiones; Buthidae.